GACGAACGCUGGCGGCGUGCUUAACACAUGCAAGUCGAACGGAAAGGCCCUGCUUUUGUGGGGUGCUCGAGUGGCGACCGGGUGAGUAACACGUGAGUAACCUGCCCUUGCCUUUGGGAUAACUUCAGGCAACUGGGGCUCAUACCGGCUAGGAGCUCUUGCUGCAUGGUGGGGGUUGGAAAGUUUCGGCGGUUGGGGAUGGACUCGCGGCUUAUCAGCUUGGUGGUGGGGUAGUGGCUUACCAAGGCUUUGACGGGUAGCCGGGCUGAGCGGGUGACCGGCCACAUUGGGACUGAGAUGCGGCCCAGACUCGUACGGUAGGCAGCAGUGGGGAAGAGUGCACAAUGGGCGGAGGCCUGAUGCAGCAACGCCGCGUGCGGGAUGACGGCCUUCGGGUUGUAAACCACUUUCGCCUGUGACGAAGCGUGAGUGACGGUAAUGGGUAAAGAAGCACCGGCUAACUACGUG
Molecule: ribosomal RNA, 468 nt
Filed under: uncultured bacterium
Lineage: Bacteria
Description: partial 16S ribosomal RNA
Rfam family: Bacterial small subunit ribosomal RNA
Source: RNAcentral